This 459-nucleotide ribosomal RNA is filed under the name uncultured bacterium. RNAcentral describes it as "partial 16S ribosomal RNA". It matches the Rfam family "Bacterial small subunit ribosomal RNA", at positions 338 to 795 of the family's 1533-position model. The record is from RNAcentral.
CCUACGGGUGGCUGCAGUGAGGAAUAUUGGUCAAUGGCCGAGAGGCUGAACCCGCCAAGUCGCGUGAGGGAAGACGGCCCUCCGGGUUGUAAACCUCUUUUGUCGGGGCUCAAAACGAACCACGUUUGGUUCCUUGAGCGUACCCGAAGCAAAAGCAUCGGCUAACUCCGUGCCAUCAGCCGCAGUAAGACGGAGGAUGCGAGCUUUAUCCGGAUUUCUUGUUUUUAAAGGGUGCGCAGGCGGAAGAUCAAGUCAGCGGUAAAAUUUAGAGGCUCAACCUCUUCGAGCCGUUGAAACUGGUUUUCUUGAGUGAGUGAGAAGUAUGCGGAAUGCGUGGUGUAGCGGUGAAAUGCAUAGAUAUCACGCAGAACUCCGAUUGCGAAGGCAGCAUACCGGCGCUCAACUGACGCUCAUGCACGAAAGUGUGGGUAUCGAACAGGAUUAGAUACCCCUGUAGUC